UGGUCUUUAAUGGACAAUGGU
This 21-nucleotide small nuclear RNA is filed under the name Arabidopsis thaliana (thale cress). Its description in RNAcentral is "snRNA_10038". Lineage: Eukaryota; Viridiplantae; Streptophyta; Magnoliopsida; Brassicales; Brassicaceae. The record is from RNAcentral.